Molecule: ribosomal RNA, 2771 nt
Filed under: Microcaldota archaeon
Lineage: Archaea; Nanobdellati; Microcaldota
Description: Candidatus Micrarchaeota archaeon (hot springs metagenome) 23S ribosomal RNA
Rfam family: Archaeal large subunit ribosomal RNA
Source: RNAcentral
CCGUGGCAAGCUGCGAUAAGCCCAGGGUACCUGCAUGCGAGGGUUGAUCCUGGGAUUGGGAGAAGUGCCUAGUCUUCGGACUAGGCCAGUUGACGCCGGGAAUUGAAGCAUCUUAGUACCGGCAGGAAGAGAAAUCAAACGAGAUGCGGGUAGUAAGGGCGACUGAACCCCGCACAGACCGUCCCGAAUCCCCUACAGUAAUGUAGGUGGAGAGGUGGGGGGGAGCACCCUACUCUUGACUCGAAGUUGGCUGGAAUGCUACACCAAAGAGGGUGAGAGUCCCGUAGAGGUAGAGAGUAGGGGCGAACCAGAGGAGUAGCCUCCCAUGAUUGGGGGGUGAAGAUGGGGGAACUAUCCUCCAAGUCUAAACAUAGUUGGAAGAUCGAUAGCGAAUUAGUACCGCGAGGGAACGCUGAAAAGACCUCCGGGCAGGAGAGUGAAAAGAUCCUGAAACUAGGCGGAGACAGGCAGUCAGGGCAGGAAAGGGUACUUGGGUGAAGCUGAGAGAGGCGACUCUCAAAGCCAACCCAAGGUCACUGUCCUGACAUUCUUCUCGAAGCAAGAGCCAGGGAGUUCUGGGUAGUGGUGAGGCGAAAGCCUGAGCGAAAGCGAAUGCCCGCAGUGAUAAACGAGGGGCAGCCUCUUAACGGGGGUAAAUCACUAUCCAGAGACCCGAAGCCCGUUGCGAACUAAGGGCGCCCAGGGUGAAGCCUAUCUUACAGGUAGGUGAAGGCCCGCAACUAGUGCUGGUAUAUUCCGCUUAGGUGAGGUGCCCUUAGGGGUGAUAGGCCAGUCGAGCCGGGCGAUAGCGGGUUCCCUCCCAAAUGUGUCUCAGCACAGCGUCACCGGAGAGAGCCUGAACGGUAGAGCACUGAUUGAGGAAGCGGGGGAGAAAUCCCUCGCCCCUCUAUCAAACUCCGAAUGUUCAGGCCUCGUAGAUGGUGGCAGUGGGGCUCCUCGGGGUAAGCUUGAGGGCCUAUUGCGGAACGACGCGACGUAGGGUUAAGGACCCUAAAUGUGGGCUAAAAGUGAAUCCAAAAGAGGGAUUCUUUCAUAGACAGCUGGGACGUAGGCUUAGAAGCAGCCAUCGUCUAAGCAACGCGUAAAAGCGGACCAGCCGAGAAAGGAUCUCUCAAAAAUGGACGGGGCUAAGCCCACUUCCGAUACCCUACCGGUGUUCCUAUGGAACACAUCGAGUAGGAGGGUGUCCGGAGUGCUGAGAAGUAGGGCCGUGAGGUCCUAUGGAGCGCUCUGGAAUAAAUAUCCUGGCGACAGUAGCAGCAAACUCAGGUGAGAAUCCUGAGGGGCUGAUAGGGCAAGGUUUCCUUGGCAACGUUCAUCAGCCAAGGGUUAGGCGGUCCUAAGGCGUAUCCUAAUGGGAAUACGCUGAGUAGGGUAACGGGUUAAUAUUCCCGUCCUAGGUGGGUAGGUUUUAGCCUUCUCACUGACGCCUCGGGAUAGGAGGAGCCAGACCGGUCCAAGCACUGAAAUCCCUGGAGUCUCGUAAUGAGGAGAAAGGGAUGAAAGUGUGAUGGGGGAACUCCUUCGACUCCUAGGGCCCAUGAAAAGGUGAGAAGGAACGAUCCCACCUAACCGUACCGAGAACUGGUACAGGUGCCCUAGCUGAAAAGGCUCAGCCCUGCAGGGAGAACCCAGGUAAAGGAACUCGGCAAGUUAGCCCCGUAACUUCGGGAGAAGGGGUGCCUGGAAUUGAGUAAAUUCCAGGUCGCAGUGACAAGGGGGGAGCGACUGUUUACCAAAAACACAGGUCACUGCUAGGCCUAAAGGCUGUGUACAGUGGCCGACGCCUGCUCACUGCCAGUACCCGAAAGCUCCUUACAAGGAGAAUAAGGGCUGGUAAAGAGCGGGGGUAACUCUGACCCUCUUAAGGUAGCGUAAUACCUCGUCGCUUAAUUGGCGACUUGCAUGAAUGGCGUCACGACUCCCCCACUGUCUCUACCUGGGACCCUGUGAACUCACUUCCCGGUGAAGAUGCCGGGGACUCCCAGUGGGAAACGAAGACUCCAUGGAGCUUUACCGCAGCCAGAUGUUUUGUCGUCGGCCUGGCUACAGAGCGUAAGUGGGAGCCGUCGAAGCUGCCUCUCCGGGGGCAGUGGAGGCAACGAUGUAACACCACUUAGCUGGGCUGACGAUGAUUACCUUCGGGGACAGCAUCUGGUGGGCGGUUUGGCUGGGGCGGUACACCCACGAAAAGGUAACAUGGGUGCCCAAAGGUCUGCUCAGACGGGUCAGAAAUCCGUCGUAGAGGGAUAAAGACAAAUGCAGGCCUGACUUCUUCCCUAACAGCGUGGGAAGAAGAGGGGAAACCCGGGCUUAGCGAACAGUAAUAUCCUUGUAGUGGGGGAUUACUCUGUCAGACAAGCUACCCUGGAGGUAACAGGCUCGUCGCGGGCGAGAGUACAUAUCGACCCCGCGGCUUGGUACAUCGCUGUCGGCUUGGGUCAUCCUGGCUGUGUAGGAGCAGCCAAGGGUCGGGUUGUUCAUCCGUUAAAGACCCACAUGAGCUGGGUUCAGUACGUCGCGAGACAGUACGGUAGUAUCUACUGGGAGUGUUGGCCUUUGAGGGGAAAGGACCACUAGUACGAGAGGAACAUGGUCCUGGGGCCUCUGGUGUACCGGUUGUGAAAUGCAUUGCCGGGUAGCUACGCCCUAGAGGAUAAGACCUGAAAGCAUCUAAGGUCGAAGCCUCUCCCAAAACUAGAGGCCAAAGCCCGCCCAUAGCAGAUGGGUUUGAUGGGGGGAAGGUGUAA